RNAcentral lists this ribosomal RNA (252 nucleotides) under uncultured bacterium. Its description in RNAcentral is "partial 16S ribosomal RNA". It matches the Rfam family "Bacterial small subunit ribosomal RNA", at positions 524 to 776 of the family's 1533-position model. The record is from RNAcentral.
UACGGAGGAUGCGAGCGUUAUCCGGAUUUAUUGGGUUUAAAGGGUGCGUAGGCGGACGCUUAAGUCAGCGGUAAAAUUGCGGGGCUCAACCUCGUCGAGCCGUUGAAACUGGGUGCCUUGAGUGGGCGAGAAGUACGCGGAAUGCGUGGUGUAGCGGUGAGAUGCAUAGAUAUCACGCAGAACUCCGAUUGCGAAGGCAGCGUACCGGCGCCCAACUGACGCUGAAGCACGAAGGCGUGGGUAUCGAACAGG